UACGAAGGGGGCUAGUGUUGCUCGGAAUUACUGGGCGUAAAGGGAGCGUAGGCGGAUAGUUUAGUCAGAGGUGAAAGCUCAGGGCUCAACCUUGGAAUUGCCUUUGAUACUGGCUAUCUUGAGUAUGGGAGAGGUGUGUGGAACUCCGAGUGUAGAGGUGAAAUUCGUAGAUAUUCGGAAGAACACCAGUGGCGAAGGCGACACACUGGCCCAUUACUGACGCUGAGGCUCGAAAGCGUGGGGAGCAAACAGG
RNAcentral lists this ribosomal RNA (253 nucleotides) under uncultured bacterium. Its description in RNAcentral is "partial 16S ribosomal RNA". It matches the Rfam family "Bacterial small subunit ribosomal RNA", at positions 524 to 776 of the family's 1533-position model. The record is from RNAcentral.